GGGAACCUUUAAACUUCAAACGUAAAAUUGGGACAUAUGUACCGCGUUUCCCUUGUGGGAUGUGUUAUUGACACUGAAUAGGUUUGCUGCUGCCCAUGUCAAGGAAUCCAACUGAGUCUUGUUGUGUCGCAGGCUCCUGUCCAACAGUCCAAUGAUGAUGUCUGUGCUGUUGUAUUUUGCAGCGGGGCUGGUGUUUUGCACUAAAAACCCAGCUUGGGCUCUUGAAAUCAUCUCCACCAAGGAGGACUAUUAUGCAGUCAAAGAAUCAAACGUCACGCUUUCCUGCAAAUUCACACAUGACAUCGAUGACAUCUCAAACAGAAUUAUAAUUAGGUGGUAUUUUAAGUCUCCAGAAGAAAAGCAGACAGAGAUUUUAAUGUAUCAUGGAGGCCAACUUGAUAUUGACCCAAACUACAGCAGGGUUCACUUCACAACUCCUGAACCCGGUCAUGGAGAUGCUUCCAUAGAGAUUAGUGACCUGCGUCUGUCAGAUGAGGGGAUCUACCAGUGCAGCCUAGAGUGCCAGCUGAAUGUACAUUCUGGAAUCACCGUAAUCAAAGACAGGUACAUGAACCUGAAAGUCAUCUAGAAGCUGAGUGCACCGGUUUGUGCCAUAGAAGGCGAUCCUGUGUGAGGCAAUGAUGUGACGCUCCAAUGCCAAUCCUCACAACCCCCCCCCCCGGUUGAAUUACAGCUGGAAAAAGAUGAGUGAAAACCAGAUGUCGCCUCCUAACGCCAGUGGGGACGCCAUAGGAGGGAACUUGAUUGUAAAAAGAAUCCCCGAGGACAACUGUGGAAGCUAUCGCUGUACGGUGGAAAAUCUGGUUGAGAUCCUACUACCGUGUCACUGCAGCGGCAAUGUCAAUCUUUAUCCUUUUGGUGGUCUUUGUUGUCAGUGCUACUCAAGAGACAAAACUGAACAAUAA
This is an RNA transcript of Entelurus aequoreus (snake pipefish), 926 nucleotides long. It is a transcript of the gene named coxsackievirus and adenovirus receptor homolog, with no coding region annotated. NCBI's taxonomy places the organism in Eukaryota, Metazoa, Chordata, Actinopteri, Syngnathiformes, Syngnathidae. The transcript has 2 exons. The record is from RefSeq and is a predicted model, not a curated record.